Molecule: microRNA precursor, 82 nt
Filed under: Trichobilharzia regenti
Lineage: Eukaryota; Metazoa; Platyhelminthes; Trematoda; Strigeidida; Schistosomatidae
Description: mir-3492 microRNA precursor family
Rfam family: mir-3492 microRNA precursor family
Source: Rfam by way of RNAcentral
AGCCUUCUGUAUCCGUGCGGAGAUUUCGUCAGACAUCAACCCAAUGGAACUGGCUGAUGCAACUACCCAAAUAAGUGAAGCG